This 72-nucleotide transfer RNA is filed under the name Fusarium pseudograminearum CS3487. Its description in RNAcentral is "tRNA-Arg". The record is from RNAcentral. Lineage: Eukaryota; Fungi; Ascomycota; Sordariomycetes; Hypocreales; Nectriaceae.
UGAUCAUGCUGAGGAUCGAACCCAGAAUCUUCUGAUUCGUAGUCAGACGCCUUGCCAUUGGGCCACACGACC